Molecule: transfer RNA, 85 nt
Filed under: Actinomycetota bacterium
Lineage: Bacteria; Bacillati; Actinomycetota
Description: Actinobacteria bacterium tRNA-Ser
Rfam family: tRNA
About the family: Transfer RNA (tRNA) molecules are approximately 80 nucleotides in length.
Source: RNAcentral
GGAGGGAUGGCAGAGCGGACGAAUGCGGCGGUCUUGAAAACCGUUGAGGUGCAAGCCUCCGGGGGUUCGAAUCCCCCUCCCUCCG